GUAAUUAUAGUUUAGCUAAAACAUUAGAUUGUGAAUCUAAUAAUAGAAGAAUAUAACUUCUUAAUUACC
Non-coding RNA from Saimiri boliviensis boliviensis (Bolivian squirrel monkey), 69 nucleotides. NCBI's taxonomy places the organism in Eukaryota, Metazoa, Chordata, Mammalia, Primates, Cebidae. The record is from Ensembl.